This is a long non-coding RNA of Oxyura jamaicensis (ruddy duck), 419 nucleotides long. RefSeq lists it as uncharacterized. The transcript has 3 exons. The record is from RefSeq and is a predicted model, not a curated record. NCBI's taxonomy places the organism in Eukaryota, Metazoa, Chordata, Aves, Anseriformes, Anatidae.
GGGGAUAUUCCCGUCCUGUUAGAUUCACUCAUGUGAAUGCAGUAGAAGCAGUCCACCUUUGUAAGAUCUCUAAUGAACACUGCCUGUACAAAAGAAGUUCAUCUCAUCACAGUGUUUCCUUCUUAAACUAGAUGUUUAAAAGGCACCAUGCCUUGCUGUCAGCUGUAAGAAACUGUGUCAGGAGGGACUGAAAAUACGAGCCAGUAGUGCCUCAUGUGGAUCAAUAAAGAGAGGAGGAGAGAUGCCAGGAACCAUAGAAAGCCUGCUGUCAUUACUGGAGGAACAUGCAAGUGUCCUUUACAACUGAUGAUACUUCCAUAUGACAGCUGUCAGAGGCACUAAUUGUUGCCCUACAGUCUUCACAUUAGUGUCCCUAUUAACAAUUAUUAGCUCACCGAACUUCGGAUGAUUGCUUUACU